CAAAUAUUUCGGAACUGUAUUUUGUCGAAAAGAUUUUUUUCGGAAAAAUAUUUAGUCGGAAAAUAAUUUUUACCUAACGACGAUAACAUGCAAUCACGAAAUGCUUAUGAUGAAAUUACAUUGAACGGUUCCGAAAAAAUAUUUUCCGACUAAUAGAUUUUCCGAAAAAACAUUUUUCAAGAAAAUAUAUCCCUCCGUUUGAGACAUUUGCAGAAUUUUUCCAAAUUUCGAAAAUCUUUGUAACGGUACAGUUCUGCCGUUGCCGAGCAUAACAUAAUUCAUAAUAUACAGCGCACGCCCCGCUGACACGGACGCGACUAAACAGACCGUUCCGAGACUGCGGUUUCCCCACAUACUACACACAGAGAACCACGCUCUAAAGCAUACUAAUCACCACGGUGCCAAUAAGUACGCUACUCCAGUCGACUACGGCAAUUUAUAAAUAUAUAGGGGCUGGAUUUCCGUUAAUUCCAUCAUCUCUACCAUUGACCUGGCACUCUAACCGAUUACGAUAAACCAACGUAGCAGACGGGAUAAGGUGCAGAAUAGCCUGUACUCUCGGCUAUUGAUGUUU
This is a non-coding RNA of Cinara cedri, 574 nucleotides long. Lineage: Eukaryota; Metazoa; Arthropoda; Insecta; Hemiptera; Aphididae. The record is from the annotation of a GenBank genome assembly.